UGUCAGUGACGAAACUAUCCCAAACCUGAUUUGUUGAUGAAAAACUUAUUACGGAUCUGGCUUCUGAGAU
Molecule: small nucleolar RNA, 70 nt
Filed under: Crocodylus porosus (Australian saltwater crocodile)
Lineage: Eukaryota; Metazoa; Chordata; Crocodylia; Crocodylidae
Description: Small nucleolar RNA SNORD50 (ENSCPRG00005016738.1)
Rfam family: Small nucleolar RNA SNORD50
About the family: U50 belongs to the C/D class of snoRNA which contain the C (UGAUGA) and D (CUGA) box motifs.
Source: Rfam by way of RNAcentral